Molecule: non-coding RNA, 110 nt
Organism: Clostridium botulinum A str. ATCC 3502
Lineage: Bacteria; Bacillati; Bacillota; Clostridia; Eubacteriales; Clostridiaceae
Source: Rfam
UAGUCUGAGAGAUAGGAAUUAUAUAGAGUCUUACUAAUGAUGGAGAAGUUUGCUAAGCAAAACAAAGUCCAACACUAUCUAAAUCCUUAGGAAUAAAUAUAAGAGAUAUA